RNAcentral lists this ribosomal RNA (104 nucleotides) under Moraxella sp. RCAD0137. RNAcentral's name for it is "partial 16S ribosomal RNA". It matches the Rfam family "Bacterial small subunit ribosomal RNA", at positions 1437 to 1533 of the family's 1533-position model. The record is from RNAcentral. Lineage: Bacteria; Pseudomonadati; Pseudomonadota; Gammaproteobacteria; Moraxellales; Moraxellaceae.
AACGCAAGAGGGCGAUCACCACGGUGGGGUCGAUGACUGGGGUGAAGUCGUAACAAGGUAGCCGUAGGGGAACCUGCGGCUGGAUCACCUCCUUAAUGAAGAUA